RNAcentral lists this ribosomal RNA (31 nucleotides) under Tilia dasystyla. Its description in RNAcentral is "partial 18S ribosomal RNA". Lineage: Eukaryota; Viridiplantae; Streptophyta; Magnoliopsida; Malvales; Malvaceae. The record is from RNAcentral.
UUCCGCAGGUUCACCUACGGAAGGAUCAUUG